Molecule: ribosomal RNA, 200 nt
Filed under: uncultured bacterium
Lineage: Bacteria
Description: partial 16S ribosomal RNA
Rfam family: Bacterial small subunit ribosomal RNA
Source: RNAcentral
AGAGUUUGAUCCUGGCUCAGGACGAACGCUGGCGGCGUGCCUAAUACAUGCAAGUCGAGCGAUGAAACCCUUCGGGGUGGAUUAGCGGCAGACGGGUGAGUAACACGUAACCAAUCUACCUUACCGUCCGGGAUAACUAACCGAAAGGUUAGCUAAUACCUGAUGCGACUAUCGAGCGGCAUCGUUUGAUAGUGAAAGCA